Impatiens glandulifera is the source of this 635-nucleotide long non-coding RNA. RefSeq lists it as uncharacterized. NCBI's taxonomy places the organism in Eukaryota, Viridiplantae, Streptophyta, Magnoliopsida, Ericales, Balsaminaceae. The transcript is spliced from 5 exons. The record is from RefSeq and is a predicted model, not a curated record.
AUCUAUUUACUGGAAAUCCGUAGUCAAGAAGACUCUCGAGAGUGCAUGCACAGGAAAACUCUGUCGUUUGGAUAGGCAAGUCUCUCAUAUGAAUGAUCUUAAUUUGUAAAUUUUCAGGUUUUGAUCUUAACUCUGUGAAGCCUCAUGAGUACAAACUCAUUAUGAAUUGUGGUUACAGGAGGUGAUAGUGCAGUAGGUUGGGUUUUGGGAUGUCUUGGUACAAGCAACGACCUUUCAAGAACUUUCAGUUGGGGUGGUUCAAUCCCUAUUUACUAGAAAUCCAUAGUCAAGAAGACUCUCGAGAAUGCAUGCACAGGCAAACUCUGUCGUUUGGAUAGGCAAGUCUCUCAUAUGAAUGAUCUUAAUUUGUAAAUCUUCAGGUUUUGAUCUUAACUCUGUGAAGCCUCAUGAGUUUGUACUCAUUAUGAAUUGUGGUUGCAGGAGGUAAUAGUGCAGUAGGUUGGGUUUUGGGACUUCUCGGUACAGGCAAUGACCUUUCAAGAACUUUCGGUUGGGGUGGUUCAAUCCUUAUUUAUUGGAAUUUCGUAGUCAAGAAGACUCUCGACAAUGCCUGCACAGGCAAACUCUGUCGUUUGAACAGGCAAGUCUCUCAUAUAAACAUAGGAAAGAACAAU